RNAcentral lists this ribosomal RNA (460 nucleotides) under uncultured bacterium. RNAcentral describes it as "partial 16S ribosomal RNA". It matches the Rfam family "Bacterial small subunit ribosomal RNA", at positions 338 to 795 of the family's 1533-position model. The record is from RNAcentral.
CCUACGGGAGGCAGCAGUGAGGAAUAUUGGUCAAUGGGCGUAAGCCUGAACCAGCAAAGUCGCGUGAGGGAUGAAGGUUCUAUGGAUCGUAAACCUCUUUUAUAAGGGAAUAAAGUGUGGGACGUGUCUUAUUUUGUAUGUACCUUAUGAAUAAGGAUCGGCUAACUCCGUGCCAGCAGCCGCGGUAAUACGGAGGAUUCGAGCGUUAUCCGGAUUUAUUGGGUUUAAAGGGUGCGUAGGCGGGCCUAUAAGUCAGCGGUGAAAGUCUGUGGCUCAACCAUAGAAUUGCCGUUGAAACUGGGGGGCUUGAGUAUGUUUGAGGCAGGCGGAAUGCGUGGUGUAGCGGUGAAAUGCUUAGAUAUCACGCAGAACCCCGGUGGCGAAGGCAGCCCGCCAGGCCAUGACUGACGCUGAUGCACGAAAGCGUGGGGAUCAAACAGGAUUAGAUACCCGGGUAGUC